GUAGUCUGCCAUACGCAGGAAGACCCGCUGAACUGAAGCAUCUCAUUAAGCGGAGGAAAAGAAACUAACUAGGAUUCCCUUAGUAAAGGCGAUCGAAAAGGGAACAGCCCAACGUCUUAAUCCCGCAAGGGAAAUGUAGUCGGUUCACCUAUUGCACUGGUCUAAGUCAGAUGGAAUGCUGCGCGAUUCAGAGUAAAAGCCUCGUAUGACCAACCGCAAGCUUACGAUGGACCGGGGAGAGUCGGAUACUUUGAGAGUAGUGUCUUAAGGGGGUGGUAUGUCCCAUCCAAGGCUAAAUAACGUGAGGAGACCGAUAGAUUACAAGUAGUGUGAACGAAAGAUGAAAAGAACUCUAAAACAGAGGGUGAAAAGUUCCUGAACUUGCUUAGGGUUAAGGCUAUUUAUAGUACCCGUCUUGAAACACGGAUUAGGGAGUUUAUCUGUAGUGCGAGUCUUUGCACGUUAACUGUAAAGGCGUAGAGAAAGCAACUGGCGUUUGCAUGGCUACUGAGCAUUACUGAUAGGACCCGAAAGGUGGUGAACUUU
Molecule: non-coding RNA, 546 nt
Filed under: Trichomonas vaginalis G3
Lineage: Eukaryota; Parabasalia; Trichomonadida; Trichomonadidae
Description: Eukaryotic large subunit ribosomal RNA
Rfam family: Eukaryotic large subunit ribosomal RNA
Source: Rfam by way of RNAcentral